AAGUGUUUUCUGUAGAGGUGGCAAGAUGAUUGGGUCGAGUGGGUAUGGUAACGGGUCAAAGUUUCGGUUGAAACAGAUCAUUUGACCCGCAAAAGGCAAAUGAGAAAUCUGGAGGCUUUGUCAAUAGGAUUGUUGUUACAUGCCAAGGCGUUGGAUCUCGUUUAGAAAUGUUAACCGAGCUUGCGAGAAGAGAAAAGGAAGCAGGGAUUAUUCCAGAAGCUGAAGUUGGCCUUUUCAUGAAGGCGACCGCCAAUGAAGGAGAUGAAAGCAGUUUGAUUACUUACUACACUCCAAGACUGGAGCUCUAUUCGGGUCGAAAAAUAUAUCACUUGAAAAAUUAUCGACGAGCCAACCUCGAGCUCGAGCAACAUUCAUAAGUUAAGCUUGAGCUGACCUUCAUCUCAUCGUCAGGUGGUUGUAAUUUUGCGUUAUUAACGCGUCACCACCUCACACUCGAUUUUAUUUCAGCUUCAAAUGUUUCGUUUAUAGUCGACGACGAAAAAGAAGCUGGCAUUUUAAAGAAUCAUGGCCCUUUGACUUUUAUUAAGGUUCAUAACGCUGGACACAUGGUUCCUAUGGAUUAACCAAGGGCUGCAUUAAAGAUGUUGGAGUUGUGGACCACAGGGAAGCUACUUCAACCCAACAAGGGCUGAUAUUUCACUGUUUUAGAUGGCUUUUUGUUACUGAAGAUGACAUAAAAGGUCUACCAUGUUUCCAGGUGGCGGUGUUACGAGUUAGUGCGUUUCGGCGACGAACCGGGUCGAUACGAAGCAGUCCAACGAGCUGCUACCAUUGCUGAAAGUCAUAAAAAAGACACAUGAAGGCAUCAAAAGAGUUUAUUGCCGUUUGGAUCCAUCUGAUAAAACCAUGGUACGUUAUGCCUUUCAAGAACGAGAUCUUUUUUUUUUGGUAUGAAAUUUAGGUUAUCUGUCGGGAGAUUUGGUCGCAAGCAAGCGUUUUAGUCGGUAAGGAAAUACUUCCAUCGGUGAUCCCUUGGUCCCCUCAUGUCGGUGCUUCAUCGAUUAAUUUUUUUUGAAUUAUUGCUGUCAUAUCUUUUUAUUUAUUUAUUUAUAAUAGUUAGUUGACUGGAUUUUGUUUGCUGAUGUGCAGGUGUUAAUAUUCAGAUUGGUGAAGAAGUUGCUAUUAAGCUGGUAUUGCCUUCUUUUCUUUUUCAUGAUUUUGAAGCUUCUGAUUGUUUAUUUAAACCAUUACUUAUAAUUUUCUUGUUAAUGAAGCCGGAAUACCAAACCUUAAGCACUACUUUAUCUUAACGGGUCAAAUCGGUUCAGGUUGAAAUGGGUUGUUUCUAUGACAGACAUGCCGGGUUUGGUUGAUCCAUUGACAGUUUUCUCUUCUAUAAAGUAUUAAAAAACUCAUCAGUGUGUUGAUUUCGAUUACAUAAACAAUACUAUCACAAAAAUAAUAUUGGGGUUAUUGGGGUUGAGAACUGUGAAAAAUGUUCUAUAAAACUGACUUCCGCGCUGCAAAUUGUCGCUCCCGCAGCAACGCACGGGUUCCCCAUCACGUGAUAUAGUCUAUGGUUCAGCUUUUUAUGGUCUGCUGCUAAGACGCUUAUAGUGCUGGAUAUACUCUCAGCUUGCUGCAGGGGUAUUUUCGUCCUUUUGGGUUGGGAUAGAGUUCAUCUGGGUUUAAACUGUGGGUUCCGGGGUGGUGUUAUGUUAUGUAGUCUGUGAAGGUCUGACAAAGGCUGGCAAUCAACCGGGUAUGCUGUUUGGAUCUUCCGGGUUUGCUGUGGAAUCGUUAUUAGCUGCUGCUACUAUGGAACAUGGAACAAAAAGCCGGGGUUGAAAUGAUACAAGCUGGUUGUUGGUUGGAUUUAUUAUUUGUUGAAUUGGGCCGGAAUGUUAAAUGCAGAAGGCUCGGGUGUAUCUCUGGGCUUGCGGGGUUUUAUGAUAAGGGGCGUACAGCCUGGCCUAUUCUCAUAUAUUGGGCUAGCAAAAUAUACUAUGUAUUGGUGUUUUAAACUAAAUAUAGGUAUAGGGGUCGUUCUGUAAUUAGUAGUUAGUUAGUUUUAUGUUAUAAUUAGAUUAGUUAGUAAGUGCGAGGACCGGAAGCGACAAGUUGAAAGUUUGUAACCUACAAACUUAAUCAAGCGACAUCUCUAGGAGACGUACCUGUUCAGUUCGACGCCUAACAUCACAGAAACAAAGAGACGUGAUUUUUCACAAGGAGACACACCUCUUCAAGAUCAAUCUCAACCACAAGUUCAAGAGUCGCAACCGUUCGUGAAGAGACACGUCUCUAUCAUCGCAUCUAUUCGUAUAGUAUAUAUAGGGUUCAUGUAUGUCAAUUGUAAUCAUCACUUUUCAUUCAAUACAAGCAAGUUUAU
Molecule: long non-coding RNA, 2350 nt
Organism: Helianthus annuus (common sunflower)
Lineage: Eukaryota; Viridiplantae; Streptophyta; Magnoliopsida; Asterales; Asteraceae
Exons: 4
Source: RefSeq, a predicted model, not a curated record